This 1278-nucleotide long non-coding RNA is filed under the name Homo sapiens (human). Its description in RNAcentral is "HSALNT0371513". The record is from RNAcentral. Lineage: Eukaryota; Metazoa; Chordata; Mammalia; Primates; Hominidae.
GGGAGAACUGGCCCCUAGUGGGAGUUGGGCGCGUCCCUGGAACCUCCCCUCCUCGAGGGCUGGGAGUUAGCGGGAAGAAGAAGAGGCCGCGGGCACCAUGAUUCAGACCCGGAAACUACGCCUCCAGGCAUGGCUAGGAGAAAUGGGCUUCGGAGACCAUGGCCACCCCUCUCCCUGCCUAGGAGCACGCCUGCCCCAGCACCCGGGCCUGAACGCAGCGAGAGCUCCAGAGCCUGCGAGUCCCAGAGUUCCAGUUCCACAUCACAGUCACGCAAAUGUAAGAGAAUGGAGAAUGCAGUCCUUUCUCAGCUGGGCACAAAGUAAUGCUGAGUGAAACAGAAGUUGUUAUUGUGGAAGAGCUUCCAGUCGAUUUUGAAAAAUUCAGAGCAUGGGCAAGACAUAGCAGAAAAAGAAAUUGUGAUUGAUUGGAGUAUUUAUUUUCCUGGCUUCCUCCAUGUGGAGUUGCUAAAGACCGGCUGCAUCUUUCAGCUGCAAUCACAGCUCCUGCCUGGCAGCCUUCUCGGUCUCCAGGUUGUAGGAACCUCUUUGUCUUAUCUUUCAGGCCUGUGGGUGGCAAUAAUGUUCUUUAUUAGUACUAGCCUUAAGAUUUCACCAAUUAUUCCAGCUGUUUACUGGAAACCACAAAAAGCACACUGACUGACAUCGCCACUACGUGUCUUUCUUUUAGGGGCAUAAUAAAGUAGGAAACACAUUUAUUGUCCUCCAGAGAGGGCCUCCAAGUCAACUCUGCAUGUCUGACUUGCCCCAACCAUUUUAUGGAGUGCACUGAAGUGUUUUAAGGUCCUGCUUCCCUUCCAGAACAGCACCUUCCUUAGAGUGACUUCUUAGUGCUCCUCAGGCUCAAAGCCAGACCAUGAAGAUGUCAUAUUUUCCCUAAAACUGAAAGCUCCUUGAAUCAAGGGAACAUGGAUAUUUGACUCAACUGCUCUAGUCUUGUAGCAGACAAGACGCUGCUUCCAGCUACAGAUCUUGAGAAGGCUGCCUCGCACCUAUUUAAAAUAACAUGAAAAUCAGUAGCUCACAUUGCAAAGCCGAAAGAAGGAAAUCCUCCAACUUCAGUCACUUCAGCUGUUCAACCAAAUCCUUAAUACAUAGGGCUCUUUUCAUCUCUCUGUUCAGCUGUCCACUAGAACAGCAGUCCCCAACCAUUUGGCACCAGGGACUGGUUUCAUGGAAGAUAAUUUUUCCAUAGACUGGGGCAGGUUGGGGGGAUGGGUUCAGGAUGAUUCAAGUAAAUUACAUUUAUUGCGCACUUUA